AUAUUAUUAAGCGGAGGAAAAGAAACUAACAAGGAUUCCCUUAGUAACGGCGAGUGAAGCGGGAACAGCUCGAAAUUAAAAUCGGGUACCCCAACAGGUGCUCGAGUUGUAAUCUAAAGACGUACUGUCAGCGCGUGACCCGGGUAUAACUCUUUUGAAACAAGGGAUCAUAGAGGGUGACAAUCCCGUCUGUGACCCGGAGUUCGCCGCAUACGACGUGCGCUCUAAGAGUCGAGUAGCUUGGGAUGCUGCUCAAAUUGGGUGGUAAACUUCAUCUAAAGCUAAAUAUUGGCCAGAGACCGAUAGCGCACAAGUA
RNAcentral lists this ribosomal RNA (316 nucleotides) under uncultured eukaryote. Its description in RNAcentral is "partial large subunit ribosomal RNA". It matches the Rfam family "Eukaryotic large subunit ribosomal RNA", at positions 40 to 350 of the family's 3401-position model. The record is from RNAcentral.